Molecule: ribosomal RNA, 486 nt
Filed under: Escherichia coli
Lineage: Bacteria; Pseudomonadati; Pseudomonadota; Gammaproteobacteria; Enterobacterales; Enterobacteriaceae
Also listed under: 1 other name
Description: partial 23S ribosomal RNA
Rfam family: Bacterial large subunit ribosomal RNA
Source: RNAcentral
AGACCCGAAACCCGGUGAUCUAGCCAUGGGCAGGUUGAAGGUUGGGUAACACUAACUGGAGGACCGAACCGACUAAUGUUGAAAAAUUAGCGGAUGACUUGUGGCUGGGGGUGAAAGGCCAAUCAAACCGGGAGAUAGCUGGUUCUCCCCGAAAGCUAUUUAGGUAGCGCCUCGUGAAUUCAUCUCCGGGGGUAGAGCACUGUUUCGGCAAGGGGGUCAUCCCGACUUACCAACCCGAUGCAAACUGCGAAUACCGGAGAAUGUUAUCACGGGAGACACACGGCGGGUGCUAACGUCCGUCGUGAAGAGGGAAACAACCCAGACCGCCAGCUAAGGUCCCAAAGUCAUGGUUAAGUGGGAAACGAUGUGGGAAGGCCCAGACAGCCAGGAUGUUGGCUUAGAAGCAGCCAUCAUUUAAAGAAAGCGUAAUAGCUCACUGGUCGAGUCGGCCUGCGCGGAAGAUGUAACGGGGCUAAACCAUGCACC